UGGGGAAUAUUGCACAAUGGGCGAAAGCCUGAUGCAGCAACGCCGCGUGAGUGAUGAAGGUCUUCGGAUUGUAAAGCUCUGUCUUUUGGGACGAUAAUGACGGUACCAAAGGAGGAAGCCACGGCUAACUACGUGCCAGCAGCCGCGGUAAUACGUAGGUGGCGAGCGUUGUCCGGAUUUACUGGGCGUAAAGGGUGCGUAGGCGGAUGUUUAAGUGAGAUGUGAAUCCGCCGGGUCAUUAACUU
Molecule: ribosomal RNA, 245 nt
Filed under: uncultured bacterium
Lineage: Bacteria
Description: partial 16S ribosomal RNA
Rfam family: Bacterial small subunit ribosomal RNA
Source: RNAcentral